This is a long non-coding RNA of Mobula hypostoma (lesser devil ray), 3494 nucleotides long. RefSeq lists it as uncharacterized. Lineage: Eukaryota; Metazoa; Chordata; Chondrichthyes; Myliobatiformes; Myliobatidae. The record is from RefSeq and is a predicted model, not a curated record. The transcript is spliced from 6 exons.
GGAGGAGGUUUUCAACCACAAAAGAUGGUGUUUAAGAGUUUCUAAAUUGUUAAAGUGCGGUUACAUUGCGCUGCAAGUGUAGUUUGGAAGGGUUCUGAGCUAAAUCCUUGGGCCUGAUCACUUGAGUUGCGCUCGCCAGCGCUAGCCCUCCGUACAUGGUUCGAAACCUCCGAUUUCACGUUUGGGAAUGGGUUUCCCCACUCCCACUCUAGGAUCUAGGAUCUGCCUCAUGACUCACUUUAGUUAACCCCAGCGUUCACACAGCCGCAAGCCGCAGGAAGGGGGGCCUGGUAGGCCCACUCCACGUCUUCCUACGCCAACUCCCGAGACCGCGUGGGUUUCCUCCCACACUCCAGCGAAUUGCCGGCCAGUAGGUACUGUGGCGGUGCGAUAGUCCUGCACAAUAGAGAGAGUAGAGUAGAUUUAGAUCUGGAGUAGCUGAAUCACUUUGCUUCAGAAUGGAGAGCUAUAAGCAUAAAGAAUCUAUUAAGAAGCAGUGUAUCAUACACCAGAAAACAUCAAAAGAAGAUGACCAUUUAGUUAGUCCUCAAGUCUACGAAUCCUGGAAAACAUUACUUGAAGCAGCCAAAGGGAGAAACCAUGCCCCUAUUUUAGAUGUUGCUAAAGAACUUCGAGAAAAAGAAGGCCCAAGAAUCUGCUAUCACUGAAAAUGCCAAAGCCUCUUCAUGAAGAGAGACUUAGAGACUCUGAAAAGGAAAGCAUUACUGAUGAAGCUGGUGAGAAUACCUGUACAUCAAAAAGGCCAAGUAUGAGAUCUUCAUCAGAAGCAAGGGUGUAUGAUCAAAUCUGCAUUUUUUAUAAUAAGGUGAAGUUUCUGAAGGUCUCCAAGUCACGUGAAAAGCUUACACAAGCUGUACAGCCCAGAGCUGACCAAACACUACGAGAAUGUGCAACCCAAAAGGAAGAUGAAAAGAUUCCAGCAGUAACAAAGCAGAGACAUAGUUGCUGCAGAGGCCCACUAUCAUGUUUCAUGCUAUAAGGAUUAUACCAGAAUCAAGAAAAGGGAACCCGGGUACAAAGAGAAUGAUGAUAAAACAGAUGGUGAUGAACUGUAUAAAAGGAUUGAAAGGGAAGCCUAUAAAGACCUUUUCAAGUAUAUCAGAACUGAUAUCAUACCCAACAAGAUGAUUGUACAAGUCACUACUUUGGUCACGAAACUUGAAUUUUUCAUGCUAUCUGGUGGAGUUACACUCCUGAAAGAUUCUACAAGGAAACACAUUCGUAGGGAACUGGAAUCUGAGCUGGGCAAUUCAGUAGAUAUAUUUCCAGAUGACAAAGGAAAAUUGUUAAUGGUUCCUGAAAGUGUAUCAUUAAGAGACGUUGCCUUGGCAAAUCAAACUCUACAGAGGGAACUCAAAGUUUGGAGGGCCAAGGCAACCAAUUUUGAGCAGUAGAAGAGCAACUCCCAGGAAACUGCAGCAGUGGUUGAUGGAAUAAACUUGGUCCAAAGAGUGAAAGGUGAUUAAGUUACUUUGAGAUGUUGCCACAACAAUUCUGGGUAUGGUUCUGAUGGAAGGCAGUCAGAGUAGCAGAAUAGAUGUUGUGUUCGACAGAUACAGGGAGAACUCUAUCAAGAAUAAUGAAAGAUCUCUACGGGGUGAAGAGACUGGUCAUGAGAUGCAAGGUAUCACAGGCACACAGAUGGUGAGGCAGUGGAGGAGCUUCCUGACCAAAAUCAGUAACAAAAAUAGUCUCAUUAGCUUCAUAGCCCAUGAAUGGAGGAAGGUGGAGUACAGAGCAAAGCUACAGGAGAAGAUUAUGUAUGUAACUGUGAAUGACAAAUGUUACAGAAUCACAUCUCAGAACUGAGGAGGUGUCAGCUCUUCAGUGUCAACAAGAAGAAGCAGAUGGCUGCCUACUACUCCCAUGUUGCCCAUGCCACAAGAGGGAUACCAAUCUGUAGUGAUCUGCUCAGAAGACACAGGUGUCUUUAGCAUUUUGUGACAAGAGGCCCCAUUGUUCCAGAAGUGUGGCACUAGAACCCGUAUAAGGCUUGUAGACAUCAGGAAGUUUGCUACCACUGUUAGCAUAGAGGUUUGUAGGGCUCUUAUUGGGUUGCACACGUAUAUAGGGUGUGACACUAAGUGCUUUUGCAGGCAAAGGGAAGACAAGUCCCCUAAAACUUUGUGCUGGAAAAGGUGAAAUCGAAAGUCAUUAACUCCCACCAUGCAAGGACUGCUUAACAAAACGUGCACAGUGGGCCAACUACCAGGCUGGUAUAUGGAGAAGGACUCAAGUGCCAAGCCCUGUUGGCAGAGGAUGGAAGAUGGAGAGAAGAGGAAGCUGAGCAGUUGGUGGUGCACUGGAUGGAAGGCCACCCAGCACCCAAUGCCGUCCUGGAUCUACUGGCCUGUAACUGUCCAAAAAAAAGUUCACUCUAAAGGCGUCCUUAAAUGACAGGAUUUAUGACUAGCCUUUAUCACCAUCCUGGCAGGGAUGGGCUGGAAGAUCUGUUUUAUAUGUCUACAAAUUGGCCAAAUCAAUGUGCCCGGAGAGUAGGAGCUUGAUUCCCUCCCAUUCUGUGUCCUUAAAUGGCAGUAUUUAUCACUUGACUUUGCAGGAAUGGGCUGGAAGAUCUGCACUAUAUGCCUGCAAAUUGGCUAAAUCCAUACAUGCCUGGAGCAUUGGGAGAGUAGGGGCCUGAUUCCCUCCCGUUCUCCAUCCAAUGUGGUUCUAGGCUUGAUUCUUGCAGUGAACCCAUCUGCCGGGCCUGGGAGUUUAUGUGGAUGGAGAAUCAGCAGCCUGACAUUUGAAACUUGGUAUGGCAAAAGUUGGACUUGCUGUAACCCACAAGAUGCCAGAAGAGCUUGCAGGUACAGGCAGCAUCUAUGGAAAUAAAUACAGUUGACAUUUGAGCCGAGACCCUUUAGAACUCGAAAGGAUGGAGUGAAGAAGCAAGAAUAUGAUGGUGGGAAGGCUGCUUUUAAAAUGUUGAAGGUGGACAUUUUUGUACUGUCCUUAAUAAAAUGUUAUUUAAUGUUUGUCCUUUCAUCUCUUGAUCUUUCCUUUGGUUCUAUUGGCCAAGUUUGAGCUUAAUUCAGCUGAUUGAAUUGAUCUGCUUUAAAAUGCACAGCUGCUUUGGGCAGCAUUUCAGAGCUUGACUUGCAUUCAGGGGCUAUAGUACCAUCUGACUUGGUGAUCUAUUCAGAUUGGGCACAGAAGUACAUUCAGCCAGAGACUCAUUCCCCAAGAUGCAACACAGAGCGUUAUACGAAGUCAUUCCUGCCUGCGGCCAUCAAACUUUACAACUCUUUCCUUGGAGGGUCAGACACCCUGAGCCAAUAGGCUGGUCCUGGACUUAUUUCCUGGCAUAAUUUACAUAUUACUAUUUAAUUAUUGUGCAACUGUAACGAAAACCAAUUUCCCUCGGGAUCAAUAAAGUAUGACUAUGACUCGUGCAAGAAAGCCACUUCUCACAGAAAAUGACAUGUUUUGUAUUCACUUUGAGUAAUGCCAGCAUUAAAGGAUAUUUG